This is a long non-coding RNA of Lagenorhynchus albirostris (white-beaked dolphin), 481 nucleotides long. RefSeq lists it as uncharacterized. NCBI's taxonomy places the organism in Eukaryota, Metazoa, Chordata, Mammalia, Artiodactyla, Delphinidae. The record is from RefSeq and is a predicted model, not a curated record. The transcript is spliced from 3 exons.
CCCACCCAAAUGGAUCCAGAACAAAUCAAGAAUCUUACCUUUGGUGAAAGGUUGAAAGCAUUAUAGUCGCCUGCUAUAUUGCAGUUAGGUCUUGAAGGUAAAUGAAGAGGGAUACAAAGAUUCUCCAGCAAAGACCCUCUUCUUAGGAAGAGAAAGCAAGAGAGCAAGGGUGUCAUAUCAGGGCUUCCCUGGUGGUGCAGUGGCUGGGAAUCCGCCUGCCAAUGCAGGGGACACAGAUUCAAGCCCUGGUCCCAGAAGAUCCCACAUGCCGCGGAGCUACUGAGCCUGCAAGCCGCAACUACUGAGACCGUGAGCCGCCACUACUGAGCCCGUGAGCCACAGAUACUGAGGCCCACGCGCCUAGAGCCCGUGCUCUGCAACAAGAGAAGCCGCCGCGAUGAGAAGCCCACGCACUGCAACGAAGAGUAGCCCCCGCUUGCCACGGCUGGAGAGGGCCCACGUGCAGCAACGGGGACCAAAC